Molecule: ribosomal RNA, 562 nt
Filed under: Escherichia coli
Lineage: Bacteria; Pseudomonadati; Pseudomonadota; Gammaproteobacteria; Enterobacterales; Enterobacteriaceae
Description: partial 23S ribosomal RNA
Rfam family: Bacterial large subunit ribosomal RNA
Source: RNAcentral
CUGUAAGCCUGUGAAGGUGUGCUGUGAGGCAUGCUGGAGGUAUCAGAAGUGCGAAUGCUGACAUAAGUAACGAUAAAGCGGGUGAAAAGCCCGCUCGCCGGAAGACCAAGGGUUCCUGUCCAACGUUAAUCGGGGCAGGGUGAGUCGACCCCUAAGGCGAGGCCGAAAGGCGUAGUCGAUGGGAAACAGGUUAAUAUUCCUGUACUUGGUGUUACUGCGAAGGGGGGACGGAGAAGGCUAUGUUGGCCGGGCGACGGUUGUCCCGGUUUAAGCGUGUAGGCUGGUUUUCCAGGCAAAUCCGGAAAAUCAAGGCUGAGGCGUGAUGACGAGGCACUACGGUGCUGAAGCAACAAAUGCCCUGCUUCCAGGAAAAGCCUCUAAGCAUCAGGUAACAUCAAAUCGUACCCCAAACCGACACAGGUGGUCAGGUAGAGAAUACCAAGGCGCUUGAGAGAACUCGGGUGAAGGAACUAGGCAAAAUGGUGCCGUAACUUCGGGAGAAGGCACGCUGAUAUGUAGGUGAAGUCCCUCGCGGAUGGAGCUGAAAUCAGUCGAAGAUACC